UAUUUGCUGAUCAACAAGAAGAGGUAUGCUGGUUUGGUGUGGACUAAUCCUCAAAAGUUUGACAAAAUGGACACCAAGGGAAUCGAGACAGUACGAAGGGAUAAUUGUUUACUGGUUAAGAACCUUGUCACUGAGAGUCUUAACAAAAUACUAAUCGAUAGAGAUGUUCAAGGCGCAGCUGAGUAUGUUAAAAAUACAAUUGCGGAUCUUCUCAUGAACCGUAUCGACUUAUCACUUUUGGUGAUUACUAAGGUACAUUAAUAUGUUUUGCUUGGUAUGGCAUUCCUUUAACAUUGAUAUGUUUUCGCUUUAUCUGGAACCAAGAAACAUAUGAGAUUAUUUAAAAUUAUGUUUCCCCCGAUUAUUAACUUUUAGGCUACUGGACAGGAAGCUCAAAUUAGUGUGCUUUGAUUCAUUAGAAGUCUUUAGAUCUGAUUGUAAAGCAUUCAUUUUUAGCAGUCUUUUGGAAUCGACCUAUAUGCUACUGAUGCGUUUCUCAAAUCAUAGGGUCUAACUAAAACAGGAGAUGAUUAUGAAGUUAAAUCAGCUCAUGGUGAGCUUGCUGAACGCAUGCGUAAGGUUUGUGUUACUCUUUAUCACUUUUUGUUUAUCUAUGAUUUGCAAUUAUUUAGCGUUUCUUAAUCUACAUGUUAACAUAACUCUUGACUAGCUUUUAACAUAAGUCUUGACUAGUUUCCAUUCAUCAUCAAAAUAUAUGAAUAAGACGUCUGUAGGGGAAAUUUCAUUCCUUUACUUUCUCUAGUUUCAGCAUCACAUUGACAUACACCCUCAAACUGAAAAAUGAAAAAUGCUAAAGUUUGAUUUUGUUUUUGGCUUUUAAAAUACCUAUCUGAUUCUUUAAGUGUCAUCUAGUAGGUGCACAAGUGCAGGGAUAUUUUUCCUUCAUUCACGUUUUUGUGAAUAUAUGAUAUUAUUCUGUUUUACAGAGUCUGAUGAUCUAUCAUGUGAAAUUUGACAACUAGAGAUGUUUGCUUUUUCAUGUGUGACAGAGGGAUGCUGCUACAGCGCCAAAUGUUGGCGACCGGGUACCAUAUGUUAUUAUUACAGCAGCCAAAGGUGCCAAGGUAGCUUUCAUAUCAACCUUACUUUAUAUUUUCCCAAGAUGUGGAGAUCAUUUCUAUUCUACCUACUUAUCUCAUUUUGAUGCCAAAUAGGGUUAUGAAAAGUCAGAAGAUCCGAUCUACGUACUUGAGAAUAACAUCCCUAUAGACCCAAAGUACUACCUAGAGAAUCAGAUUAGCAAGGUAAGUUAGAAAUGGGGAUUGCCUAUAAGUUUCUUUAUCUACUCUUUUAUUCUGGUGCGUGGAGGUUAAAGCAGAUGUUGUUUUCAGCCGCUUCUUAGGAUUUUUGACCCGGUCUUAAAAAACGCUAGCAGUGAACUUCUCCAUGGAGAUCACAUGAGGUCAAUAUCAAUUACUACUCCUUCGAACAGCGGCAUAAUGAGAUUUGCCAAGAAACAACUGAGCUGUGUUGGCUGCAAAGUGCCGAUCAGGUACUUUAUGGUUAAUAUCCUACGUAAAUUUUCAGGAAUAUUAGGAUCCUGCAAGUUCUACUUGAUUCUGUGUUUUCAAAGUUCCUUAUCAUUUACUUCCUUUGUCCCUUUAGUCUCUAGCUUAUCUGAUUGUAUAUGUGGGAUCUUCUUAUCGAGUUUUUUUGCUUUUAACUUCAACCAGCACUGGAACAUUGUGUGCACGUUGCAAGGGAAGAGAAGCCGAGUUAUACUGCAAAAACGUAUCACAGGGUAAGCUACAUAUUCCUCUUUUUCUGAACAAACUUCUAGAUCCGUCACUAAUGUUCUUCUGAAAACAACAUUCUCAUUGCUUUUCUAGAUAGCCAAUCUUGUAACCCUUCAGGGAGAGGAUCAACCAUUUAUACGCAAUGUCAUGACUCUUAACUCAUGUGCUCCAAUCGUAGGCGUAGAUGUUAUGUCUUUUGAAACAGAAAGAAAGGUCUUACUAGCUUGGAAGGUAAUUCGUUUUACCUCUUUCAUUACCAUCUUUCUCUUACAGUUUACCCUUUCUAUAAUAUAAAAUUUCCGGAAGGACUCGGUAAAGGAUUUAAUUAACUUUUUGUUGGCACUGGAAUUUUGUGGUGGGUUUGGUGAAGCAUUUAUUCUGCUGAUGGGUAAGAUGUAUUGGUUGCAGGAUUUUGUUCGUGAUGUUGAUCCUGAUAUCAUCAUUGGCUAUAACAUCUGCAAAUUCGAUUUACCUUAUCUGAUUGAGGUACUUGAACAUUGACCUCUGUUUUUUUUAUUUUCGGAUCAUCUGGUUAAAAGAAGCAUGCUGUUACAUUUCUUGAGCAUUCUAUGUAUUAUGUUGAUAUGUUCUACUGCGCUGAAUGGUACAUGAAUAUCACGAAUCUUUACCUGGAAAAUAUGCUGUUUUCUGAUUCUCAGAGAGCUGCAGCACUGGGAAUCGAGGAAUUUCCUCUUCUUGGUCGUGUAAAGAACAGUAGGGUCCGGAUGAGGGACUCAACGUUUUCAUCAAGGUAAUGUAGGAGUAACUGGUUCUUGCAAACUGCCAUCAUUUUCCCUGCUUCAUCCCUUUCGUGGCUCAUGAGUUCUCUACACUCAAUUCGCUUAAUAUAUUACUUCCCAUAGUAACACGUACCAUGUUUCAGACAACAAGGAACAAGGGAAAGUAAAGAGACCACAAUUGAAGGACGAUUUCAGUUUGACCUUUUUCAGGUUCCUGUCCCGGGCAUAUUAUUUUUGUUGAUCCCUUCUUAGAUUUCUUACUUGUAAUUCCUUGCAAAGACAUCAACUUACCUCUUCUUUCAUUUGUUGCAGGCUAUUCACAGAGACCACAAAUUAAGUUCCUAUUCGCUGAAUUCUGUCUCAGCUCACUUUCUAUCCGAGCAGGUGAAAUGAGUAAUCACGCUUAGACUUUUAGAUUAUUUCCCUUUUGCUGUGUGGCUAACAUGAUCGUCUUCUACAGAAAGAGGAUGUCCAUCAUUCUAUAAUAACCGAUCUUCAGAAUGGGAAUGCGGAAACCAGGAGGCGUCUUGCUGUUUAUUGUUUGAAGGUACCUACUUUUGUUUAUUCUGGAGUAUUGUUGCAUUGCCUGCUGUUAGACAUAUAAAAGAGUUUCUAAGUAGUUUUCAGGCUUGUCUUAUUAGCUUAAGAUCCUAUUGCAUGUUGUCACAAGAUUUUUCCUUUUUGUUUUAGGGAUCAUUUUGUUAAUUGCAGAAACUAGGUGGUCUCAUUAUUUAUGGUCUCAGUUAUUUUUUCUCUGUUAAUAGUCAACCACUUGAAUCUUAUGAAAAUGUAAAAACUUAACUACGAUCUUCUUUGCUGUUACAGGAUGCAUAUCUCCCUCAGCGGCUUCUCGACAAACUGAUGUGUAUAUAUAAUUAUGUCGAAAUGGCUCGUGUGACUGGUGUUCCUAUUUCUUUUCUUCUUGCUAGAGGACAGAGUAUCAAGGUAGGUCUCAACUGACACUUGGAUUAAAUAUCAGUUGAGUAUGGUGACUGAUAUUUUGGUGACUGAUAUUUUGUAUCGCAACAUUUUGUUUCUAGGUUCUAUCUCAGCUUCUUAGGAAAGCUAAACAGAAGAACAUGGUUCUUCCGAAUGCUAAACAGUCAGGGUCUGAACAAGGAACUUUUGAAGGCGCAACUGUAAGUUGGUUUACGGGUGUAACAUUUACUUUCUUCCUCUCGUUUGUAUUAGUUUCUAUAUUUUGAGAAAGCACAUGGCAGUGAUCUGUUUCUGGAUGUUUAAAAUGAUAACCAGGUUCUAGAAGCAAGAACAGGUUUCUAUGAAAAGCCAAUUGCAACUCUGGAUUUUGCUUCAUUGUACCCGUCAAUUAUGAUGGCAUAUAAUUUGUGCUACUGCACCUUGGUAAUUCUUUUAGGCAUUUUCUUUUUAAGUUUUAUUUAUUUUAUCAUCGUUUGUUCAUACAUCUUACUAAUUUGCGAUCAUUAUUUCCCAUAUUCUUAUCUUUGUAGGUGACACCUGAAGAUGUGCGCAAACUGAAUCUUCCACCUGAGCAUAUCAAUAAAACUCCAUCAGGGGAAACAUUUGUUAAGCAAAGUUUACAAAAGGUUGCCACUUUUUGAAUUGAUUAUUCUCAAAUUCUGGUGGGUACUUUCUUCAGGAAAAACAUCAGUUUACAAGCAAAACGAAUAAUUUAUUUCAGGGUAUACUUCCAGAGAUUCUUGAAGAGCUCAUUACAGCCCGUAAAAGAGCUAAAGCAGAUUUAAAGGUAACUUGUGAUUCUGAAGAAACUCGUGUCAUAUGUGCAUACUUAUAUGCAGUUUUUAACCAUUACUAGCAAAACUGGUAUUGUCUAAUAGGAGGCUAAGGAUCCGCUUGAGAAGGCUGUUUUAGAUGGUAGACAAUUGGCAUUAAAGGUAAACUUCUUACUGCCAGUUUAUUUAUAUUGCCCAUUCAGGAAAAUUGAUUAAUAUUUUCGGAAAUUAUAAAAAAUAUUUCCCUAUAAUUUAUCCUUUUCUGUUGUUGUCUCAGAUCAGUGCAAAUUCUGUCUACGGGUUUACAGGAGCCACUGUUGGGCAGUUACCUUGCUUAGAAAUAUCAUCAAGCGUGACUAGCUAUGGUAUUUCUUUUGUGAACGCUACAAAUUGCGUAGACACGUACUUUUCUAUGAUUAAUCUGAUGAAUGUCUAUCUUUUUGAAGGUCGUCAGAUGAUUGAACAAACAAAGAAAUUCGUGGAAGAUAAAUUCACAACAUUGGGAGGGUAUGAAUACAAUGCAGAGGUACAUUUUCAAUUGAUUAAAUCGUGUUAUUGAAAAGUCUGACUGAAGCAUAAACUUGGUCUUAGAUUUUUUUUGAAUUUGAUGGACAAAUCAUGUAUUAGGUCAUUUAUGGAGACACGGAUUCAGUCAUGGUGCAAUUUGGCGUACCGGAUGUAGAAGCUGCGAUGACCUUGGGGAAGGAAGCUGCAGAAUAUAUUAGUGGAACUUUUAUCAAAGUGAGUGAUUGGUUUUGCUAGGAGCAUAUUGUAAACUUCUCUUUAAUCCAUGGGAGGUCUGGAAGAUUACAUGAUAUUUUGAAUGCAAAUUCUAACAGGCUAAUCGUUUUUCGUUUCUUGAUUUUGUAUGAUGUCGUAAAGCCUAUCAAAUUGGAGUUUGAGAAGGUUUAUUUUCCAUAUUUGCUGAUCAACAAGAAGAGGUAUGCUGGUUUGGUGUGGACUAAUCCUCAAAAGUUUGACAAAAUGGACACCAAGGGAAUCGAGACAGUACGAAGGGAUAAUUGUUUACUGGUUAAGAACCUUGUCACUGAGAGUCUUAACAAAAUACUAAUCGAUAGAGAUGUUCAAGGCGCAGCUGAGUAUGUUAAAAAUACAAUUGCGGAUCUUCUCAUGAACCGUAUCGACUUAUCACUUUUGGUGAUUACUAAGGUACAUUAAUAUGUUUUGCUUGGUA
RNAcentral lists this long non-coding RNA (5404 nucleotides) under Brassica napus (rape). Its description in RNAcentral is "long non-coding RNA (BNAP_LNC005310)". The record is from RNAcentral. Lineage: Eukaryota; Viridiplantae; Streptophyta; Magnoliopsida; Brassicales; Brassicaceae.